GGGCCCGCACAAGCGGUGGAGCAUGUGGUUUAAUUCGAUGCAACGCGAAGAACCUUACCUACCCUUGACAUCCUGCGAACCCGGAAGAGAUUCCGGGGUGCCUUCGGGAACGCAGAGACAGGUGCUGCAUGGCUGUCGUCAGCUCGUGUUGUGAAAUGUUGGGUUAAGUCCCGCAACGAGCGCAACCCUUAUCCUUAGUUGCCAGCACGUUUGGGUGGGCACUCUAAGGAAACUGCCGGUGCUAAGCCGGAGGAAGGCGGGGAUGACGUCAAGUCCUCAUGGCCCUUACACGCGGGGCUACACACGUGCUACAAUGGCGCAUACAGAGUGCUGCGAGCCUGCGAGGGUGAGCGAAUCACUUAAAGUGCGUCGUAGUCCGGAUUGGAGUCUGCAACUCGACUCCAUGAAGUCGGAAUCGCUAGUAAUCG
This 428-nucleotide ribosomal RNA is filed under the name uncultured bacterium. RNAcentral's name for it is "bacterial SSU rRNA". It matches the Rfam family "Bacterial small subunit ribosomal RNA", at positions 917 to 1344 of the family's 1533-position model. The record is from RNAcentral.